CUGCGAGAGCCGCCCGCCCGGCAUGCACCGCGGCACGCACAUCACCGCCACCGCGCCAGCGCCCGAACCCCCUCCUGCGCCAGGGGCACAAAGCUCCGAGGCGGACGCAGCCCCGCGGCUCCCUCCGUACCGGGGCUGAGCAGCGCCAGCUCUCCCUCCUGCACUCGGCGGGCACUGGCAGCACCUUGCCACCUGCUCCUGAGCGUGAACGACCCCAAACCCAGCGCAGCUGAGCCCAGCAAACCAGGCUCUGGCCCUGCCCUGGGCAUUUUAAGGGGACCCUGCAGGCUGCUGCCCCCACGCCCUUCACAGCUGCUUCCCAGGUGCAGAGGCUUUUGGGGCCUGGAGGAUUUCGGCUCCCGCUCGCCGGCUCCACUGCAGCCCUUGGCUGUACUCUGCCCCCAGGCUGGCAGCCCUGGCUCAUCGCCGUCACUGUGCCUGCGCUGUGCUCGCCUGCGCCUGCCGGGCUCCAGGGACAAGGGCCGGGGCCAGCGCCCCGGGAACGGCCCUUUCGCUGUGCUUUCCCAGCCGCAGGGACGCGUCCUCGUUCCCGCAGCCUCCCGCAGCCCAGCGCCCUGGGAACGGCCCUUUCGCCGUGCUUCCCCAGCCGCGGGGACGCGUCCUCGUUCCCGCAGCCUCCCACAGCCCAGCAUCCCGGGAACGGCCCUUUCACCGUGCUUCCCCAGCCGCAGGGACGCGUCCUCGUCCCCGCAGCCUCCCACAGCCCAGCAUCCCGGGAACGGCCCUUUCGCUGUGCUUCCCCAGCCGCAGGGACACGUCCUCAUCCCCGCAGCCUCCCCGCGGUCUCUCGUCAGGGGAACCGCGGGUGCCACGUCUGUGCAGCCCUCUGGCCCGCCCGGUGCGGCUCAGCCGGCAGCAGGAGCUGUGCGGAAGGUGCACAGCCCUGGGAACCGGCCCCAGACGGCUCUCGCUGUUAGUCAAUGUACUUCCUCCCGGCGAGUACAGAGGCUGAUCAUGGGGGUACAUGAUGUCAGGAAAUUGCGCUGGGGAUUAUUGCUUCUGCUGACAAGAUCCAGCAAGGAGAAAGGAGAACUGGC
Molecule: long non-coding RNA, 1058 nt
Filed under: Apteryx rowi (Okarito brown kiwi)
Lineage: Eukaryota; Metazoa; Chordata; Aves; Apterygiformes; Apterygidae
Description: lncRNA (ENSARWG00000006197.1)
Source: RNAcentral